Molecule: unclassified non-coding RNA, 448 nt
Filed under: Hevea brasiliensis (rubber tree)
Lineage: Eukaryota; Viridiplantae; Streptophyta; Magnoliopsida; Malpighiales; Euphorbiaceae
Source: RNAcentral
AUAAAUCUUCAUUCUUUGGUUCUCUUCAUCUCCACAAAAGUGAAACAUCUGGUAUGUUAUCCUACAAAACUAUGACGAGGAACAUAUGGACUCUUCAUAAUUCCAGAUAUAUACAAUGAGAUGACAUCACAAGGACCCAAGAAAGAAGUAAGAGAACAAUAUAUUAACCCUCGAUACAUUGAAAAUAAGCCAUAUGCUGAUGAAUUUCUGCAUCGCAUGUGAGAACAACAACCUAGGAACUUUACACUUUUUGUUUAAUUCUAUUAAAAGAGAACUAAGAUAAGCCAUAGAACAUGUGGUCAAUUGGUAUUUUGUGACAGAGCAAUGCAUAGUUAAUUAUGUUUGAUUAACUACUGGAGAUGUCAAAUUUCAAGUUUUUUUAGAAAACAGUUGUGUUGUAUGGAUGAUCACAGUUUAUGAGACCUCAAUACUCGAUAUAACCUUAAUG